UAGGGAAUAUUGGACAAUGGGUGAGAGCCUGAUCCAGCCAUGCCGCGUGCAGGAAGACGGCCUUCUGGGUUGUAAACUGCUUUUAUCUGGGGAUAAAAAGGGGGUGCGCCCCCAACUGAAGGUACCAGAUGAAUAAGCCACGGCUAACUACGUGCCAGCAGCCGCGGUAAUACGUAGGUGGCAAGCGUUGUCCGGAUUUAUUGGGUUUAAAGGGUGCGUAGGCGGUUUAUUAAGUCAGUGGUGAAAUACUUCAGCUUAACUGGAGAGGUGCCAUUGAUACUGAUGAACUUGAGUACAGUCGAAGUAGGCGGAAUGGACGGUGUAGCGGUGAAAUGCAUAGAUAUCGUCCAGAACACCGAUAGUGAAGACAGCUUACUAGGCUGUAACUGACGCUGAGGCA
This 400-nucleotide ribosomal RNA is filed under the name uncultured bacterium. RNAcentral describes it as "bacterial SSU rRNA". It matches the Rfam family "Bacterial small subunit ribosomal RNA", at positions 355 to 753 of the family's 1533-position model. The record is from RNAcentral.